This is a non-coding RNA of Schizosaccharomyces pombe (fission yeast), 210 nucleotides long. NCBI's taxonomy places the organism in Eukaryota, Fungi, Ascomycota, Schizosaccharomycetes, Schizosaccharomycetales, Schizosaccharomycetaceae. The record is from the annotation of a GenBank genome assembly.
UUCGUGCUACAUAUAAUCUUUUACCUCAUAUUCUUUUAUUUAACGCUAUCAUACGAUGGAUGCUAAUGAAUUGUAGAUUCUUUGACCACAAUAUAGAUAUCGGUGAUAAGGCUACUGAGUAAGAAAAAUUGUCAGUUGCUCUUACUAAUUUGAUGCAGCUUGCAGUUUAAAAGAGCUCUUUUACGAAAAGCAACGCACGCGUUAUUUGCC